This 28-nucleotide non-coding RNA is filed under the name Homo sapiens (human). Lineage: Eukaryota; Metazoa; Chordata; Mammalia; Primates; Hominidae. The record is from RNAcentral.
UCAGUCAGAAAGCAUUGGUACGGUGAGG